This 21-nucleotide non-coding RNA is filed under the name Arabidopsis thaliana (thale cress). Lineage: Eukaryota; Viridiplantae; Streptophyta; Magnoliopsida; Brassicales; Brassicaceae. The record is from RNAcentral.
UGGAGUUUUGUUGAUGUCGAA